Molecule: non-coding RNA, 2566 nt
Organism: Podarcis lilfordi (Lilford's wall lizard)
Lineage: Eukaryota; Metazoa; Chordata; Lepidosauria; Squamata; Lacertidae
Source: the annotation of a GenBank genome assembly
GCGAAGUCUCGAGGGCUGCUGAGGAGCCGGAAUGCCGGACGGAGGCGAAUUUGGGAGCGCGGCGGCGGCGGCGCUGCUGCUGGUGUUGGCGGUCGCCGAGAGCCAACCCCACCCUCCUCCUCCCCAAAUCUACUCCUCGGCUGCCGGUGGGGCGGCGAGGGUGAGGGAGAGGCAGAUUAAAAGAACGGCGAGGAAGAACACGGUGUCUGCCAACUAUCCGAGCCGCUUCAGUGUUAGCUCCGCCUCCCCCACCUUCUCCUUCUUUUUCUCCUCUCCCGUUUUCUUCACCCGGUUCCGUUCUUCUUUCCCUCCUUCUCUUGCCCUGCAGUAGAGAUUGGGCGAAGGGAGAAAGAGCCGCACAGGUUCUUUUUAGCUAGGAGGGCUUCUGAGGGGCGUGGCUAAAGGAGGGGAAAAUGUGUGCGGGCACGUGCGCAUCCCGGCUGCAAAAGCAACCCAUAGAUCUCCCUAGACCUUUGGAGGGGAAGAGAAGCCUCUGUCGCCGCCGCCGCGCAGCAAGAGUAUCAUUGAUUUUCAUGGAGCGGGAAUGGAUUGCAUACACAUGCACGCGGGCGAGCUGGCGAGCCUGGAUGCAUCAACCCGCAAGCGCCAUCUCCGGAUGGGCUCCUGCUGAGGAGCACCAGCAGUCAACACCACCGCUGCUGCUGACUUGGGAGGUUUGGGACCCACUUUAUCUAGGCCAUGUUCAGAGUUGUUGUUGCAAACGGAAUCCCUGAUCCGGACCUCGUGCAGAGCGGAAAUGAAUUAGCUCUACACCCCGAGAACGGGUUUCGAAGCUUUAGACUGCAGAACAGUCUUAAAAUAGUUGCAAAUAAAAGUUGCAAAAUACAAAAUAGCACAUUGCUCUAAAACAAUGCAGUGCUGCCUUCUUUUUAGUCCUUAAUAAAUGUCUGUAGAUUUACUCUCUCAGAACCAAGAGAGACAUCCUGUGCAAGCAUCUUGCUUCUUCAGGAUAGCCGAGCUUCAUUUCUACUGCUGCUGGCUCCAAGGACUGAGGAAGAUGCUGAGUUCUCAGGUUUUAUGUCCUGUUGAGAGAGCUCUCAGCUUGUGUUUCCAGGAUGAGUCAUCAAUCAGUCUUAAACACCCUCCUUGUGGCAUAUACCUAGAGUUUAACCUCCUGUCUAAUGCAAACUUCUCUUUGCAAAUGCAGACCCUUUCAUAAGUCUUCUUUACAUCAAUGCAUCCAAACACUACAUUUUAUGCAUAUUAAACAUAUAUCUUUAUUAGGCCAGGGUCAGGGAACCUAUGGUCCUCUGUAUAUGUUGCUAGACACCCAACAUAUGCCACAGCCUAUGUGACCCUAGGGUCAGGAAAUACGGGUUGUAGUCCAACUUAUGGAGGGUCAACGUUUUCCCAUCCCAGCAAAAUGAUGUUGGACUCUGAUGGAUAGCUCAGUUGGCUAGAGCGUGGUGCUGAUAACACCAAGGUUGCAGGUUCAGUCCCCAUAAGGGACAUCUGCAUAUUCCUUCAUUGCAGGGAAUUGGACUUGAUGAUCCCCAGCACCCCUUCCAACUCUAUGAUUCCUAUUAGCCUCAGAAGACAUGGCCAGUGGUGAGGGACAAUGGCAACUGCAACCCAGUGACAUCUGGAGAAAAACAGGGGGCUGCAGUUGGUGUGAAGCUGGUUUGGGAAACUGCCUCAAACAGUAGUAUUUCACAAUGAAGUGCAACAUACAUAUGCAGUUUGGGUAAUGUAUAUAAUAAUAAUAAUAAUAAUAAUAAUAAUAAUAAUAAUAAUAAACUACAAUAAAAAAUCAAUAUGACUAACACACUGCGCCUGCCUUUCUUCACAGACACACCAUGUACUGCCUGAUUGAAGCUUGCAGACCACAGUUUGGACCUUGGACCACUGUUGGAGAACCCCUGUUCUAGUAGCUCUACCAAUCCCUGCUCUACCAAGAGGGAGAGAAAUAAUUGUGAAUAGAUGGCAACUGCUCCUGCCUUUGCACCCUUGAUGGGGAGGAAUGCAUCCUGUCCCAAAACAUCCUUGCUCCUGAAUGUGGGAAGGUGAUCUGUUGUUACUCAGUGGUGAGGAAAAGGCAUCCCGCACAACCUCAGAUGGCCUCACAUGUUCCAGGACUCUGAGACGUGGCCUUUGUGUUCAAAACAGAACCUAGUGAAACCUGGGAAGACUGUUUCAAUAAGAAAAUUCAUGGUUGCCAGUGGCAAAUGUUUAACUUUAGAUAGAUAGGAAAUGGCAGGCUCCUACUUGCCGGAAAAUCACACCUGGUAAUAUUGGCUGCCAGAAACUCUAUAAAUGAUGUGAUAGGACAAUGGAGUGUGCAACAGAAGAAGUACUUUUCUUUAUUUUAUUUAGCCCCAAUUUGAGGGGUUAUUUAGAAGAGAUGCAAAGGCACAGCAUUUUACUCAGGCUUUUGGGAACAUUUGAUUACUGAUCAUCACCUGUUAAUGAUUUUAUUGGUUGUACUGUUGCUUUAGUAAUUUAUUAUGUAAUGUAUGUUACUGUUUUAUUGUUAUAUAACCCGCCCUUGGAGCUUUGGUGAAGGGCAGGUAAUAAAUGCAUAUAAUAAAUAAAUAAAUUUAAUAUA